UCAUUGUUGAAUGCUAAGAAAGACAAAGAUGAAGACUAGAUGGAAUAGGAAGAACUUUCUGCUUGUAGCAGGACUGUCUGUUAUAGGUGUCCAUAUUGGUAGCAUGCUUGUAAACUUAGUUGCAAAAAAAUCAGCCCAAUCACAUUCGGAAAUUAAAAAAGGUCGUCAUGAAUGAAAUAG
Non-coding RNA from Tinamus guttatus (white-throated tinamou), 180 nucleotides. Lineage: Eukaryota; Metazoa; Chordata; Aves; Tinamiformes; Tinamidae. The record is from RefSeq and is a predicted model, not a curated record.